AAAACUAAAAAUGUCAAUGUUGUCGGGAUAUUAAUUUGUUGAGUUAUUUACACUAUAUGACAGUUUUAAGUUUUUAAUAACACUAUAAGGCAGUUAUGACUACUGAGACAGUUUUUGUUAACUAAAGUCACUAAUAUAAUUGAAAUCACCCCACAUGUUUUGGAAAUUAGUUACUUUUCUUUUUUUUUUCUCGAACCAAACGUUUGAAACCUAAAAAUAUAUUAAAAAAAAAUCAGAAAUUGUUAAAGCUUCUUCACAUCGUCACAAUUUUCCGCCGCAUCCGGAGCUAAUGCUUGUCGCCGCCCUAUACCAUCGUGGUCUGUUGAAGGUCACUGGAUUGGUUUUUUUUUGGCCGCCGCAACUCUUCUUUCUCUGCUGCGUCUUUUUUUUUGCCACAACAUUUUUUUAUCUGCCGCAAUUCUUCCUUCUCGUCUUCGGUAUGUUUUGCAACUCGUCUCUGAAGUCGCCG
Molecule: long non-coding RNA, 469 nt
Filed under: Brassica napus (rape)
Lineage: Eukaryota; Viridiplantae; Streptophyta; Magnoliopsida; Brassicales; Brassicaceae
Description: long non-coding RNA (BNAP_LNC023176)
Source: RNAcentral